GAUGAACGCUGGCGGCGUGCCUAACACAUGCAAGUCGAGCGAUUUACUUCGGUAAAGAGCGGCGGACGGGUGAGUAACGCGUGGGUAACCUGCCCUGUACACACGGAUAACAUACCGAAAGGUAUGCUAAUACGAGAUAAUAUACUUUUAUCUCAUGGUAGAAGUAUCAAAGCUCUGGCGGUACAGGAUGGACCCGCGUCUGAUUAGCUAGUUGGUAAGGUAACGGCUUACCAAGGCGACGAUCAGUAGCCGACCUGAGAGGGUGAUCGGCCACAUUGGAACUGAGACACGGUCCAAACUCCUACGGGAGGCAGCAGUGGGGAAUAUUGCACAAUGGGCGAAAGCCUGAUGCAGCAACGCCGCGUGAGCGAUGAAGGCCUUCGGGUCGUAAGCUCUGUCCUCAAGAAGAUAAUGACGGUACUUGAGGAGGAAGCCCCGGCGUAACUACGUG
RNAcentral lists this ribosomal RNA (451 nucleotides) under uncultured bacterium. RNAcentral's name for it is "bacterial SSU rRNA". It matches the Rfam family "Bacterial small subunit ribosomal RNA", at positions 28 to 507 of the family's 1533-position model. The record is from RNAcentral.